Gavialis gangeticus (Gharial) is the source of this 94-nucleotide long non-coding RNA. RefSeq lists it as uncharacterized. Lineage: Eukaryota; Metazoa; Chordata; Crocodylia; Gavialidae. The record is from RefSeq and is a predicted model, not a curated record. The transcript is spliced from 3 exons.
UUAAAUGUUUUGAGAGAGAAGUAAUUAGCCAUGGUAGUCUAAAGGCAGACAGAAGGCAGGGUAGAGUUGCAUCUUAUAGACUAAGUCAAGUCAG